Molecule: non-coding RNA, 588 nt
Organism: Carica papaya (papaya)
Lineage: Eukaryota; Viridiplantae; Streptophyta; Magnoliopsida; Brassicales; Caricaceae
Source: RefSeq, a predicted model, not a curated record
GCCCAAACACUUUGGUUACCCUCCUGGGGCAUUGUGAAGGUGGUCCUGAGACGAUGCUUGUUUAUGAGUAUCUGCCCAACAAUAACCUUGAAUUCUUUCUCUUUGAUAAAGACAGAUCUUGGUGGCUGGACUAGAAAAGGCGAUUCAGAUCAUAAAAGGUGUGGCAAAUGGUCUUCUCUACCUCCAUGAAGAAGCUUUUAUAAGGAUUGUUGGUAGGAAUAUUGGAGCUUGUAAUGUGUUGCUAGAUAAGCAGUUUAAUCCAAAGAUUUCAGCACUUGGCCAGGCAAAGCUCUUUCCUUGGAACAUCAUCCAUAUUAACUGCAGGGUAUCUGGGACUAUAGAUUGUAAUCUGCGCCAGAGAGGAGAUAUGGUGACUACUUGAGUUACGCAAGUGAAUUUUCGUUAAUCCAUCUAUCGACUCACUUCAGCUAUAAUAAUGUCUUCUUGGCCUUAAUCAUGGAGGCUUUACAAAGAAGAUGAGGCCCUGGCAUUAAUCGAUUCAAGUCUUGCUUCAACGAGGCAGAAUUGUGCAUUGAGCUGGGAUUAUUUUGUUGCCAUGAAAUUGUUGAGCUGGUAUUUAAAUUCCAU